GAGACGGCGCUCAGGGCUCAAAGUCCAGGGCUCAGGACAGCAAAAAACCAGAUUGCCGGGGGAGUGUUUAAUCUGCUCAGGGCGUCUGGGCACCUGUGCACCCUGAGCCUCCAUAUCAUCCGCCCAGCCAUCGCCCGCAGCCCCAAAAGCAGCCUCCUUCCCCAGAGGUAAACUGAGUCCCAAGAGAUGACAGGAGCCCUUCCAAAGGGCUGUUACGAAUGCUUUAAUGCAGGCCAUUGGGAAGCAGCUCUCAGCUGGCAGUGGGGAGAAGCAGGUGGAGCCAUGAGAUCGUGGAGGAUUGCGGGUGUCUCCUCAACCAGGGAUGCUCUCCGAGUAUAAGAAGAAUCACCAGGCAGGGACCAAGCUCAGGAAGAGGGGUG
This 380-nucleotide long non-coding RNA is filed under the name Homo sapiens (human). RNAcentral describes it as "HSALNT0254589". The record is from RNAcentral. Lineage: Eukaryota; Metazoa; Chordata; Mammalia; Primates; Hominidae.